Long non-coding RNA from Globicephala melas (long-finned pilot whale), 695 nucleotides. RefSeq lists it as uncharacterized. Lineage: Eukaryota; Metazoa; Chordata; Mammalia; Artiodactyla; Delphinidae. The record is from RefSeq and is a predicted model, not a curated record.
CUUGGACCCAUGUAUGGCAAUACCUCAUACACUGAGAUUUCACCUUUGCACACAGAAAUCACCCUCCUCCACCCGAUGUAAACAUUUCAAUCUGAACCUGAUACUCCUUUCCUGUCAGCCCUCAGCCCAGAAGAACUCAGCAUCACCCACUCACACGUGCCCAGGAGCCUGGGAAAGCCAUGAGGCAUCACAGGGCUGAAACCAUGACAGCUCAUGAAACAGGGAGGGCUGCUGUCAACACUCAUGACCCAACGAGGCCAGGGACCCCAGAGUUUUCUGGAGGAUUGCAGAACCUGAGCACAGAGAGGCCAGAGUCAGAGCGACUCUACCUGCUGGAUGUGGUCAGGUGUCCAGAGUGGGGCAAAUCAAGAGUGUGACAUGCCACAAGCCUGCUGGACCCUCCAGGACAUUUGAUGGCCUCUCUUGUCAUUGAGCCAUGGAGAAAGGCUUAAUCCUAUAUCCUCAAAACACUAACAACCAAGGCUGAGUUACGCGGGCCUCUCACUGUUGUGGCCUCUCCCGUUGCGGAGCACAGGCUCUGGACGUGCAGGCUCAGUGGCCAUGGCUCACGGGCCUAGCCACUCCGCGGCAUGUGGGAUCUUCCCGGACUGCGGCACGAACCCGUGUCCCCUGCAUCAGCAGACGGACUCUCAACCACUGCGCCACCAGGGAAGCCCUGGCCUGUGCAUUUUGAA